UGCGAGAGUGAUGAGUUGCACACUGGUGGUGUUGCCAUGUCAGGUGAUGUGGGCACCACUCAGAAUCUCCCUGAUGACAAAGCCAAGUGCACAGGGGCCAUCUGACUCGCU
This is a small nucleolar RNA of Chelonoidis abingdonii (Abingdon island giant tortoise), 111 nucleotides long. Ensembl annotates it as small nucleolar RNA, C/D box 67. Lineage: Eukaryota; Metazoa; Chordata; Testudines; Testudinidae. The record is from Ensembl.